Molecule: ribosomal RNA, 497 nt
Filed under: uncultured bacterium
Lineage: Bacteria
Description: partial 16S ribosomal RNA
Rfam family: Bacterial small subunit ribosomal RNA
Source: RNAcentral
GAUGAACGCUGGCGGCGUGCCUAAUACAUGCAAGUCGAGCGAACGGACGAGAAGCUUGCUUCUCUGAUGUUUGCGGCGGACGUGUGUGUAACACGUGUAUAACCUCCCUAUUAUUCUUGGAUCACUUCGGGAAACCGUUGCUAAUACCGGCUGAUAUUUUGUACCGCAUGGUUCAUAAGUGAUCUACGGUCUUUCUGUCUCUUAUUGAUUGAUCCGCGCUGCUUUAGCUAGUUGGUAAGGUAACGGCUUACCAAGGCAACGAUGCAUAGCCGAACUGAGAGGGUGAUCGGCCACACUGGAAGUGAGACACGGAACAGACUACUACGGGAGGCAGCAGUAGGGAAUGUGCGGCAAUGGGCGAAAGCAUGACGGAGCAAAGCCGCGUGAGUGAUGAAGGACUUCGGAUCGUAAAACACUGUUAUUAGGGAAGAAAAUAUGGGUAAGAAACUGUGCAGAGAAUGACGGUACCUAAACAGAAAGCAACGGCUAACUACGUG